RNAcentral lists this ribosomal RNA (353 nucleotides) under uncultured bacterium. RNAcentral describes it as "bacterial SSU rRNA". It matches the Rfam family "Bacterial small subunit ribosomal RNA", at positions 28 to 406 of the family's 1533-position model. The record is from RNAcentral.
GACGAACGCUGGCGGCAGGCCUAACACAUGCAAGUCGAACGCUCGUAGCAAUACGAGAGUGGCAGACGGGUGAGUAACACGUGGGAACCUUCCCUAUGGUUCGGAAUAGCUCAGGGAAACUUGGGGUAAUACCGGAUAAGCCCUUCGGGGGAAAGGAUUUAUCGCCAUUGGAUGGGCCCGCGUCGGAUUAGCUAGUUGGUGAGGUAACGGCUCACCAAGGCAACGAUCCGUAGCUGGUCUGAGAGGAUGAUCAGCCACACUGGGACUGAGACACGGCCCAGACUCCUACGGGAGGCAGCAGUGGGGAAUAUUGGACAAUGGGCGCAAGCCUGAUCCAGCCAUGCCGCGUGAGU